CCCCUGCAAUUAUAUGCCAAUCCAAACAAAUCAAUAAAGCAUGCCAGAACGACUUCAUAGAUCAAUAACUCAAGAGCAUAGAAUGAAGAUAUUGACACAAGUAAGAAGCAGUAGAAAUCCAAAUAGAGCGCAAGAACAAACCAACUUAUCCUCCACACCAGUAAAUCCAAGGCUCUCCGUAGUGCAAUCCUGAUUGAGAUUUGAACCACCACUGGUCCAUAUAGGAAAAAGCUCAUGAUAAUUUUAACUAGAAGAAUGAUUCUGUAAUCCUACACAACACUCAAAACAGGGAUUUCUGCCUGGAUUCAAGUAUAGGCCACAACAAAAUACACGACAGUAGAUAAUGCCAAAGAGCGAGCAAGGUCAGAUUUAUGGCAUAACAAUAUGCUAAAUAGAUUGCUGGUGUGCACAAGAAUGGACUAAAUCACACUAUCUAGCAUCACCCCGAAAUGGAUUGAAGCAAUCAAUAAAGAUGUCAAUGACCUGUAAAGUUUCUGGUCAAAUACUAUAAAAUUCAAG
RNAcentral lists this long non-coding RNA (519 nucleotides) under Panax ginseng (ginseng). RNAcentral's name for it is "long non-coding RNA (PGIN_LNC012706)". Lineage: Eukaryota; Viridiplantae; Streptophyta; Magnoliopsida; Apiales; Araliaceae. The record is from RNAcentral.